UGGCGAGUGGCGACGGGUGAGUAUACAUCGGAACGCGUCCUGUAGUGGGGGAUAGCCCGGCGAAAGCCGGAUUAAUACCGCAUACGCUCUACGGAGGAAAGGGGGGGAUCUUAGGACCUCUCGCUACAGGGGCGGCCGAUGGCAGAUUAGCUAGUUGGCGGGGUAAAGGCCUACCAAGGCGACGAUCUGUAGCUGGUCUGAGAGGACGACCAGCCACACUGGGACUGGGACACGGCCCAGACUCCUACGGGAGGCAGCAGUGGGGAAUUUUGGACAAUGGGCGCAAGCCUGAUCCAGCAAUGCCGCGUAUGUGAAGAAGGCCUUCGGGUUGUAAAGCACUUUUGUCCGGAAAGAAAUCCUUUGGGCUAAUACCCUGAGGGGAUGACGGUACCGGAAGAAUAAGCACCGGCUAACUACGUGCCAGCAGCCGCGGUAAUACGUAGGGUGCAAGCGUUAAUCGGAAUUACUGGGCGUAAAGCGUGCGCAGGCGGUUCGCUAAGACAGAUGUGAAAUCCCCGGGCUUAACCUGGGAACUGCAUUUGUGACUGGCGGGCUAGAGUAUGGCAGAGGGGGGUAGAAUUCCACGUGUAGCAGUGAAAUGCGUAGAGAUGUGGAGGAAUACCGAUGGCGAAGGCAGCCCCUGGGCCAAUACUGACGCUCAUGCACGAAAGCGUGGGGAGCAAACAGGAUUAGAUACCUGGUAGUCCACGCCCUAAACGAUGUCAACUAGUUGUCGGGUCUUCAUUGACUUGGUAACGUAGCUAACGCGUGAAGUUGACCGCCUGGGGAGUACGGUCGCAAGAUUAAAACUCAAAGGAAUUGACGGGGACCCGCACAAGCGGUGGAUGAUGUGGAUUAAUUCGAUGCAACGCGAAAAACCUUACCUACCCUUGACAUGGUCAGGACCCUGCUGAAAGGUGGGGGUGCCCGAAAGGGAACUGAUACACAGGUGCUGCAUGGGUGUCGUCAGCUCGUGUCGUGAGAUGUUGGGUUAAGUCCCGCAACGAGCGCAACCCUUGUCCCUAGUUGCUACGCAAGAGCACUCUAGGGAGACUGCCGGUGACAAACCGGAGGAAGGUGGGGAUGACGUCAAGUCCUCAUGGCCCUUAUGGGUAGGGCUUCACACGUCAUACAAUGGUCGGAACAGAGGGUCGCCAACCCGCGAGGGGGAGCCAAUCCCAGAAAACCGAUCGUAGUCCGGAUCGCACUCUGCAACUCGAGUGCGUGAAGCUGGAAUCGCUAGUAAUCGCGGAUCAGCAUGCCGCGGUGAAUACGUUCCCGGGUCUUGUACACACCGCCCGUCACACCAUGGGAGUGGGUUUUACCAGAAGUGGCUAGUCUAACCGCAAGGAGGACGGU
This 1359-nucleotide ribosomal RNA is filed under the name Paraburkholderia phenazinium. RNAcentral's name for it is "bacterial SSU rRNA". It matches the Rfam family "Bacterial small subunit ribosomal RNA", at positions 89 to 1454 of the family's 1533-position model. The record is from RNAcentral. Lineage: Bacteria; Pseudomonadati; Pseudomonadota; Betaproteobacteria; Burkholderiales; Burkholderiaceae.